RNAcentral lists this ribosomal RNA (484 nucleotides) under uncultured bacterium. RNAcentral's name for it is "partial 16S ribosomal RNA". It matches the Rfam family "Bacterial small subunit ribosomal RNA", at positions 30 to 507 of the family's 1533-position model. The record is from RNAcentral.
AUUGAACGCUGGCGGCAGGCCUAACACAUGCAAGUCGAGCGGAUGAAGGGAGCUUGCUCCUGGAUUCAGCGGCGGACGGGUGAGUAAUGCCUAGGAAUCUGCCUGGUAGUGGGGGAUAACGUCCGGAAACGGGCGCUAAUACCGCAUACGUCCUGAGGGAGAAAGUGGGGGAUCUUCGGACCUCACGCUAUCAGAUGAGCCUAGGUCGGAUUAGAUAGUUGGUGGGGUAAAGGCCUACCAAGGCGACGAUCCGUAACUGGUCUGAGAGGAUGAUCAGUCACACUGGAACUGAGACACGUUCCAGACUCCUACGGGAGGCAGCAGUGGGGAAUAUUGGACAAUGGGCGAAAGCCUGAUCCAGCCAUGCCGCGUGUGUGAAGAAGGUCUUCGGAUUGUAAAGCACUUUAAGUUGGGAGGAAGGGCAGUAAGUUAAUACCUUGCUGUUUUGACGUUACCAACAGAAUAAGCACCGGCUAACUUCGUG